Molecule: long non-coding RNA, 442 nt
Filed under: Volvox carteri
Lineage: Eukaryota; Viridiplantae; Chlorophyta; Chlorophyceae; Chlamydomonadales; Volvocaceae
Description: long non-coding RNA (VCAR_LNC001231)
Source: RNAcentral
AGAGGCCCUCAGAGAUGGCUUUCCUUGGCUCUCCUGGCACACCGUUGCAACAUCUAUAGUCACAUGUAAUCAGUCAGCCGCGCGAUUGAGAAGAGAGCCGAGGUUGAGGACAAGAAAAAUGAACUUCGGGGGUAGCAAGCAAGCAGAGGUGGGCGUGUGGCGUAAAGUGGAUCUGGCCAUGUUUGUUCUGUGUCUUACUCCUUGAGUUGCGCUACCCUUCAAAAUAUGUAUUGGAUGCUUAUUUUUAAGCGCAAUGUGCCGCCACGAGACGCCCCAUACACUUAUGUGCGUACGUCUACCGCACAUCCUGGAUACACACGUGCUUUCGGUACAAAGAAGCAAAGCCCCCCUGCCUAAAACCAAAUGUACAGCCCUAUGAGCACAGCAAAUACAACGAGUCCCGCUAGCAAGGUCAGCAGCUAGCUGAGGCGCACUCGACGAC